CAUUCGUUUAGUCCGAAGGUGGAAGUGGCUUCUGCCUCGGAGCGGUAAUACACCCGCUGUCGUUGUCGUGGUGGGCGCGUAUGCCACUCCGUCUUUUCCCUGGAUGGGCCCCAUCGACUUCAAGGCCCAGGGCCCACUUAGGCAAUGAGUCAUUCGAGCGCACGGCAGCAGGGGGCGGGCGAGAAGGAAGAGAUCAGGCGCAUCAAUCGUGAGUUGCAGCGCAACCUCAUCUUGGAAACAGCCUUGAUUGCCUUCGCCCUUGGUGUGCUGGCCUUGGCCGGCGUACUUCUCGCUGCACAUGGAUGGCACACGCACAACGACAGCCUAUUCGCUCUUGGGCUGUAUAUUCUUGCUGUGCAUAUUGCCUUCCAUGUCCUGGAGUUCCUUGUUGCCGCGUUCACUCGCCCUCACGACACCCACCCGGAUGCCUUCAUGGUGUUUCACUCGAUACCGUACCUCAUCGCGAGUGGAACUGCGCUGCUGGAAUUUUUUGUGGAGGCAUACGCCAUCCCUGAGAGGUGGAAACUGGACCCCACUCGCCAUACGCUGCUUGGUUUUUUCUUGCGAGUGAACUACACCUCGGCGCUGCUCUUCACAUUUCUUGUCCUUGUUUUCUACGGCAUCCGCGUCGUGUCAAUGCUGCAGUGCGGCUCCAACUUUUCCCUCAUGAUUGAGCAUGAGCGGCACUCCGGCCAUCAGCUUGUAACGCAUGGCCUGUACCGAUAUCUGCGCCACCCGGCCUACUUUGGAUGGUUUUGGCGCACGUGUUGCGCGCAGUGGAUUCUGGCAAACCCGGUCUCCGCCGUGGUCCACACGGGGGUAACCUGGUACUUCUUCCGGUCCCGCAUCGCCUACGAGGAGGCCACGCUGCAGCGACCAGACUACUUUGGGGAGGCGUACAAGAGAUACAAGGUGCGCACCAUCGUCGGGAUUCCGUUUUUGUAAGCAGCGUCUGCUUCAUGAGGCUGUAUACUCGCCGUGCAUCGCGCCUUGGCGGAGCGUCAGAAAGGAGACUGAGGCCUGCGCCGCGCGUGUUGUGUGUGCGUGUGUACCUCUAUGGAGCUCCUCUUGUGCUAUGCCCUCACAACACUGACGCGUCGUAGUGCAGAGCCAAAACGCGCACCGAUGAAGUCAUAAAAAAGCAAGAUCAGUAGAG
This 1156-nucleotide unclassified non-coding RNA is filed under the name Leishmania donovani. Its description in RNAcentral is "gene:LdHU3.35.3990(CDS-product:prenyl_protein_spe cific_carboxyl_methyltransferase_putative)". Lineage: Eukaryota; Euglenozoa; Kinetoplastea; Trypanosomatida; Trypanosomatidae. The record is from RNAcentral.